This 208-nucleotide ribosomal RNA is filed under the name uncultured bacterium. Its description in RNAcentral is "partial 16S ribosomal RNA". It matches the Rfam family "Bacterial small subunit ribosomal RNA", at positions 335 to 560 of the family's 1533-position model. The record is from RNAcentral.
ACUCCUACGGGAGGCAGCAGUCGGGAAUUUUGCACAAUGGGCGAAAGCCUGAUGCAGCAACGCCGCGUGAGGGAUGAAGGCCUUCGGGUUGUAAACCUCUUUUCUCAGGGACGAUAAUGACGGUACCUGAGGAAUAAGCCACGGCUAACUACGUGCCAGCAGCCGCGGUAAUACGUAGGAGGCGAGCGUUAUCCGGAUUUACUGGGCG